This 497-nucleotide ribosomal RNA is filed under the name uncultured bacterium. Its description in RNAcentral is "partial 16S ribosomal RNA". It matches the Rfam family "Bacterial small subunit ribosomal RNA", at positions 28 to 507 of the family's 1533-position model. The record is from RNAcentral.
GAUGAACGCUGGCGGCGUGCCUAAUACAUGCAAGUCGAGCGAACAGACGAGGAGCUUGCUCCUCUGACGUUAGCGGCGGACGGGUGAGUAACACGUGGAUAACCUACCUAUAAGACUGUGAUAACUUCGGGAAACCGUAGCUAAUACCUGCUAAUAUAUUGAACCGCAUGGUUCAAUAGUGAAAGCCGGUUUUGCUGUCACUUAUAGAUGGAUCCGCGCCGGAUUAGCUAGUUGGUAGGGUAACGGCUUACCAAGGCGACGAUGCGUAGCCGACCGGAGAGGGUGAUCGGCCACACUGGAACUGAGACACGGUCCAGACUCCUACGGGAGGCAGCAGUAGGGAAUCUUCCGCAAAGGGCGAAAGCCUGACGGAGCAACGCCGCGUGAGUGAAGAAGGUCUUCGGAUCGUAAAACUCCGUUAUUAGGGAAGAACAAAUGUGUAAGUAACUAUGCACGUCUUGACGGUACCUAAUCAGAAAGCCACGGCUAACUACGUG